CGCGGGCGGCGGGCGGCGGCCGAGCAGGCGGUGGCGUCCGGCGAGGGGCCAGACGGGAGGCGUGCCAGGCGGUGCCCCGGUGGUCCAGUGCAUGCCCGGAGCAGGUGGCGACCUCCGGUGAGCUGCAAGCUGGCGAGCGCCGAGCGGCAAGGUGCCGUGGCGGCGUCCAGUGAGCCGGCGAUGGGCCAGACAGAAGGCAGGCCAGGCGGAGGCGGUGGUCCAGCACUCCAGCGCCUGCGCCGCCACGCCGCCGGGAAGGUGGCGAGCCGCUCGCUGGCGAGGUGCCGCGAGGGCGCAAGGCGCCGAGGCAGGCAGGCAGCAGGUCAGCGGCACAGUGGCCGGCAAGGCAGCAACGAGUCAACGACGCAGUCGCAGCCUACUGUGACUGUGAUUGAAGAUUUGAAGUUAGAAAUCGGUAAACUAGCGAAUAGGCGCGGGCGGCGGGCGGCGGCCGAGCAGGCGGUGGCGUCCGGCGAGGGGCCAGACGGGAGGCGUGCCAGGCGGUGCCCCGGUGGUCCAGUGCAUGCCCGGAGCAGGUGGCGACCUCCGGUGAGCUGCAAGCUGGCGAGCGCCGAGCGGCAAGGUGCCGUGGCGGCGUCCAGUGAGCCGGCGAUGGGCCAGACAGAAGGCAGGCCAGGCGGAGGCGGUGGUCCAGCACUCCAGCGCCUGCGCCGCCACGCCGCCGGGAAGGUGGCGAGCCGCUCGCUGGCGAGGUGCCGCGAGGGCGCAAGGCGCCGAGGCAGGCAGGCAGCAGGUCAGCGGCACAGUGGCCGGCAAGGCAGCAACGAGUCAACGACGCAGUCGCAGCCUACUGUGACUGUGAUUGAAGAUUUGAAGCGCGGGCGGCGGGCGGCGGCCGAGCAGGCGGUGGCGUCCGGCGAGGGGCCAGACGGGAGGCGUGCCAGGCGGUGCCCCGGUGGUCCAGUGCAUGCCCGGAGCAGGUGGCGACCUCCGGUGAGCUGCAAGCUGGCGAGCGCCGAGCGGCAAGGUGCCGUGGCGGCGUCCAGUGAGCCGGCGAUGGGCCAGACAGAAGGCAGGCCAGGCGGAGGCGGUGGUCCAGCACUCCAGCGCCUGCGCCGCCACGCCGCCGGGAAGGUGGCGAGCCGCUCGCUGGCGAGGUGCCGCGAGGGCGCAAGGCGCCGAGGCAGGCAGGCAGCAGGUCAGCGGCACAGUGGCCGGCAAGGCAGCAACGAGUCAACGACGCAGUCGCAGCCUACUGUGACUGUGAUUGAAGAUUUGAAGUUAGAAAUCGGUAAACUAGUAACCUCUAAUACUAAUAGAUAGUCUAAAAUUG
RNAcentral lists this long non-coding RNA (1294 nucleotides) under Oryza sativa Indica Group (long-grained rice). Its description in RNAcentral is "lncRNA OsMH63_01G001760". The record is from RNAcentral. Lineage: Eukaryota; Viridiplantae; Streptophyta; Magnoliopsida; Poales; Poaceae.